This 76-nucleotide transfer RNA is filed under the name Candidatus Izemoplasmatales bacterium. RNAcentral's name for it is "tRNA-Glu". It matches the Rfam family "tRNA". From Rfam's summary of the family: Transfer RNA (tRNA) molecules are approximately 80 nucleotides in length. Their secondary structure includes four short double-helical elements and three loops (D, anti-codon, and T loops). Lineage: Bacteria; Bacillati; Mycoplasmatota; Mollicutes; Candidatus Izemoplasmatales. The record is from RNAcentral.
GGCCAGUUGGAGAAAAGGUUAACUCAGUGCCCUCUCAAGGCACCAUUCACGGGUUCGAACCCCGUACUGGCUACCA